RNAcentral lists this ribosomal RNA (465 nucleotides) under uncultured bacterium. Its description in RNAcentral is "partial 16S ribosomal RNA". It matches the Rfam family "Bacterial small subunit ribosomal RNA", at positions 338 to 795 of the family's 1533-position model. The record is from RNAcentral.
CCUACGGGUGGCAGCAGUGGGGAAUAUUGCGCAAUGGGCGCAAGCCUGACGCAGCGACGCCGCGUGUGGGAUGAAGGUCUUCGGAUCGUAAACCUCUGUCAGCAGGGAAGAACGGUCACUGUGCUAAUCAGCAGUGAAUUGACGGUACCUGCAAAGGAAGCACCGGCUAACUCCGUGCCAGCAGCCGCGGUAAUACGGAGGGUGCGAGCGUUAAUCGGAAUUACUGGGCGUAAAGCGCUCGUAGGCGGUAUGUCAAGUCAAGGGUGAAAUCCCCGCGCUUAACGUGGGAACUGCCUUUGAAACUGGUAAACUGGAGUGUUUGAGAGGAUAGUGGAAUUCCAGGUGUAGGAGUGAAAUGCGUAGAGAUCUGGAGGAACACCAGUGGCGAAGGCGACCAUCUGGCACAUAACUGACGCUGAGGUGCGAAAGCGUGGGUAGCAAACAGGAUUAGAUACCCCGGUAGUC